Molecule: ribosomal RNA, 416 nt
Filed under: uncultured bacterium
Lineage: Bacteria
Description: bacterial SSU rRNA
Rfam family: Bacterial small subunit ribosomal RNA
Source: RNAcentral
AAUUAACGCUGGCAGAGUGCAUAACACAUGCAAGUCGAGCGGAACUGUUUGAGAUUACAUCAAGGGCAGUUUAGCGGCAGACGAGUGAGUAACACGUAAGCAAUCUACCCUCGAAUGGCGAAUAACUAUCCGAAAGGAUAGCUAAUGCGCCGUACUCUCCUUGGAAGGCAUCUUCCGAGGAGGAUAGACCAGCAAUGGUCGUUCAAGGAGGAGCUGCGGCCCAUCAGCUAGUUGGCGGUGUAACGGACCACCAAGGCUACGACGGGUACCCGGCCUGAAAGGGCGAACGGGCACGAUGGGCACUGAGACACGGGCCAUACUCCUACGGAGGCAGCAGUGGGGAAUUUUGGACAAUGGGCGAAAGCCUGACCCAGCAACUCUGCGUGAGGGACGAAGGGCUUCGGCCCGUAAACCUC